UGGUACACACUGCAUCAAUCAAUUCCCAAGGAAAACAAAAGAGAAGAAAAGAGAAUCAGGACUAGCUAUCUAUCACUCAUCCUCAUGGCGAUCUUCAAGAGGAACACCGCCGCGCUGAUCUUGGCCGCCGUCGCGGUCAUGGCCGCCGUCCUCUCCUCGUGUUGCCACGCUGACAGCUCCGCGGGAGAGAGGUGCUUCCCGCCUGUCAUGGGCCCGGACUGCAACCUGAGGCAGUGCCGGCAGCGGUGCGGGAAGAGCUCGAAAGCGCACUGCUACAUGGCGUUGGCCGACGUGCAGCCCAUGGGGGUGACCGCCUGCUGCUGCACUCCGCUCCGUCGCGCCAAGACCGCUCCCGCUGCCUUGUAAACUCCGUUGGGACGAUCGAUGAAGAAAUCAAUAACCUAGAACUUUUUUUAUGGCAUGCGUAUGUGACGUGCGUCUUUAGUUUACCACUUUGAUGAGUUCAGGGACGUGAGCUUUAUUCUUUUCGGCUAAUUAAUUGCAUCCUCUCUGUCA
This is a long non-coding RNA of Hordeum vulgare subsp. vulgare (domesticated barley), 516 nucleotides long. RefSeq lists it as uncharacterized. The transcript is spliced from 2 exons. Lineage: Eukaryota; Viridiplantae; Streptophyta; Magnoliopsida; Poales; Poaceae. The record is from RefSeq and is a predicted model, not a curated record.